Molecule: ribosomal RNA, 468 nt
Filed under: uncultured bacterium
Lineage: Bacteria
Description: partial 16S ribosomal RNA
Rfam family: Bacterial small subunit ribosomal RNA
Source: RNAcentral
GACGAACGCUGGCGGCGUGCUUAACACAUGCAAGUCGAACGGAAAGGCCCUGCUUUUGUGGGGUGCUCGAGUGGCGAACGGGUGAGUAACACGUGAGUAACCUGCCCUUGACUUUGGGAUAACUUCAGGAAACUGGGGCUAAUACCGGAUAGGGGCUCCUGCUGCAUGGUGGGGGUUGGAAAGUUUCGGCGGUUGGGGAUGGACUCGCGGCUUAUCAGCUUGUUGGUGGGGUAGUGGCUUACCAAGGCUUUGACGGGUAGCCGGCCUGAGAGGGUGACCGGCCACAUUGGGACUGAGAUACGGCCCAGACUCCUACGGGAGGCAGCAGUGGGGAAUAUUGCACAAUGGGCGGAAGCCUGAUGCAGCAACGCCGCGUGCGGGAUGACGGCCUUCGGGUUGUAAACCGCUUUCGCCGUUGACGAAGCGUGAGUGACGGUAAUGGGUAAAGAAGCACCGGCUAACUACGUG